GUAGGUGGCAAGCGUUAUCCGGAAUUAUUGGGCGUAAAGCGCGCGCAGGCGGUUUCUUAAGUCUGAUGUGAAAGCCCACGGCUCAACCGUGGAGGGUCAUUGGAAACUGGGGAACUUGAGUGCAGAAGAGAAAAGCGGAAUUCCACGUGUAGCGGUGAAAUGCGUAGAGAUGUGGAGGAACACCAGUGGCGAAGGCGGCUUUUUGGUCUGUAACUGACGCUGAGGCGCGAAAGCGUGGGGAGCAAACAGGGAUUAGAUACCCUGGUAGUCCACGCCGUAAACGAUGAGUGCUAAGUGUUAGAGGGUUUCCGCCCCUUUAGUGCUGCAGCUAACGCAUUAAGCACUCCGCCUGGGGAGUACGGUCGCAAGACUG
RNAcentral lists this ribosomal RNA (373 nucleotides) under uncultured organism. RNAcentral's name for it is "partial 16S ribosomal RNA". It matches the Rfam family "Bacterial small subunit ribosomal RNA", at positions 527 to 896 of the family's 1533-position model. The record is from RNAcentral.